CAGAGGGUAGUUUAUAAAAAUAUUAGUUUUGGGGACUAAAGAUAGGGCAAAAGCUUUAUCUCUGA
This 65-nucleotide transfer RNA is filed under the name unidentified. Its description in RNAcentral is "Epeorus rhithralis tRNA-Pro". The record is from RNAcentral.